Molecule: small RNA, 56 nt
Filed under: Arabidopsis thaliana (thale cress)
Lineage: Eukaryota; Viridiplantae; Streptophyta; Magnoliopsida; Brassicales; Brassicaceae
Description: ATSL096100
Source: RNAcentral
CUAAACCUGAGGCAGAGGCGAUGGAUGGAGCUGGUGGCUGAAUAUGAUCUGGAGAU